RNA transcript from Arabidopsis lyrata subsp. lyrata, 925 nucleotides. It is a transcript of the gene named nuclear transcription factor Y subunit B-1, with no coding region annotated. The record is from RefSeq and is a predicted model, not a curated record. The transcript has 6 exons. NCBI's taxonomy places the organism in Eukaryota, Viridiplantae, Streptophyta, Magnoliopsida, Brassicales, Brassicaceae.
AUAUAUACAGCAGUCGAACAAAAAGCUGCGUUUCGUAGAAAAAUUCGAUUUCUCUAAAGCCCUAAAACUAAACGACUAUCCCCAAUUUCAACUUCUAGGGUUUCUCCCACUUUCUCCAAUCUAUACGCCAUUUUCGAUUUACUUUUUGAUUCGUCGACCAUGUCUCGAAUUCAAACGAUGACUUGAGUGUUUCUUCUGUUCCUGCAGAGUUUAAUGGCGGAUACGCCUUCGAGCCCGGCCGGAGAUGGCGGAGAAAGCGGCGGCUCCGUUAGGGAGCAGGAUCGAUACCUUCCUAUAGCUAAUAUCAGCAGGAUCAUGAAGAAAGCGUUGCCUCCUAAUGGAAAGAUUGGUAAAGAUGCUAAGGAUACUGUUCAGGAAUGUGUUUCUGAGUUCAUCAGCUUCAUCACUAGCGAGGCCAGUGAUAAGUGUCAAAAAGAGAAAAGGAAAACUGUGAAUGGUGAUGAUUUGUUAUGGGCAAUGGCAACAUUAGGAUUUGAGGAUUACCUGGAACCUCUAAAGAUAUAUCUAGCGAGGUACAGGGAGUUGGAGGGUGAUAAUAAGGGAUCAGGAAAGAGCGGAGAUGGAUCUAAUAGAGAUGCAGGUGGAGGUGUUUCUGGUGAAGAAAUGCCGAGCUGGUGAAAGAAGUAGUGAUCAAGAACAAGGCCAAAUGAUCAAGUAAUUCUUCUCUCUAAUACACAGCCUCAUGUACACAAAUGAAGAGCAUAGUCUAUAUGCAUGGGAAAUUAGAGAUCAGUGAGUUGUUUAUAGUUGAGCUGAUCGACAACUAUUUCGGGUUUACUCUCAAUUUCGGUUAUGUUAGUUUGGACUUUUGGUUUUCUAUUUCCGGUUUAGUUGGUUGUAUUUAAAGAUUUCUCUGUUAGAUUUGAGAACACUUUGAAAUUUGAAUGAAGGAAAAAUUUGUCCA